CCUACGGGCGGCAGCAGUGAGGAAUAUUGGUCAAUGGCCGGAAGGCUGAACCAGCCAUGCCGCGUGAAGGUCAGUGCCCUAUGGGCGUUAAACUUCUUUUGUGCGGGAGCAAUAAUGGUCACGUGUGGCCAGACGAGAGUACCGUACGAAUAAGCAUCGGCUAACUCCGUGCCAGCAGCCGCGGUAAUACGGGGGAUGCAAGCGUUAUCCGGAUUUAUUGGGUUUAAAGGGUGCGUAGGCUGUGAGGUAAGUCAGCGGUGAAAUGCCCCCGCGCAGUGGGGUGAAGUGCCAUUGAUACUGCCAUGCUGGAAUGCGGAUGCCAUGGGAGGAAUGUGUGGUGUAGCGGUGGAAUGCAUAGAUAUCACACAGAACACCGAUUGCGAAGGCAUCUCACGAAUCCGCGAUUGACGCUGAUGCACGAAAGCGUGGGUAUCAAACAGGAUUAGAUACCCCUGUAGUC
RNAcentral lists this ribosomal RNA (460 nucleotides) under uncultured bacterium. RNAcentral's name for it is "partial 16S ribosomal RNA". It matches the Rfam family "Bacterial small subunit ribosomal RNA", at positions 338 to 795 of the family's 1533-position model. The record is from RNAcentral.